This 494-nucleotide ribosomal RNA is filed under the name uncultured bacterium. Its description in RNAcentral is "partial 16S ribosomal RNA". It matches the Rfam family "Bacterial small subunit ribosomal RNA", at positions 28 to 507 of the family's 1533-position model. The record is from RNAcentral.
GACGAACGCUGGCGGCGUGCUUAACACAUGCAAGUCGAACGGUGAAGCGCCUUCCUUGUUGGUGGGUGUGGAUGAGUGGCGAACGGGUGAGUAACACGUGAGUAACCUGCCCCCUUCUUCUGGAUAACCGCAUGAAAGUGUGGCUAAUACGGGAUAUUCUGGUUCUGUCGCAUGAUGGGUCUGGGUAGGAUAUUGUUUCGGUGGGGGAUGGGCUCGCGGCCUAUCAGCUUGUUGGUGGGGUGAUGGCCUACCAAGGCGGUGACGGGUAGCCGGCCUGAGGGGGUGGACGGUCACACUGGGAGUGAGACACGGCCCGGACUCCUACGGGGGGCAGCAGUGGGGGGGAUGGCACAAUGGGCGAAAGCCUGAUGCAGCGGCGCCGCGUGAGCGAUGGAGGCCCUCGGGUUGUGAACCUCUUUCGCCAGUGAAGCAGGCCUGCCUCGUUUGUGGGUGGGUUGACGGUAGCUGGAUAAGAAGCGCCGGCUAACUACGUG